CAGCACGGUUUUCUUUUAUUGGCGCUAUAUUGGUUUUUAGAUUUAGACAUGAUCAAUGACACCGGUUCUUAAAUUUUGCAGACAAAGGGACAAAAAAGAUGGUGACAUCGCCAUCAUGGAUGAAUUGAAGAGCAAGGUAAGUUGCCAACUUUCCACCUUUUUGUCAUGCAUAAUUUUUUUUUUGUUUUUUUAUUUAAAGCCAAACAGAAAAGUUACUCUAAAUUUGUAUGCAGAUCUCUGAAGAUAACUUGUCAGGAUUUAUAAUGGGAUACCCAACCUACAGGUCACGCACAGUAAAAAUGGUAAGUCUUUGUUGGAUAAUGAAAUGGUUAACUAUCUGUUAGACUUGGUAAUUUAUAAUUUUGCUUAACGUUUUUUUAGACUUCGGUGGUGGAAAACUUUGUGGAUGGCCUAGAUAGGAGUGGUAAAUUUCCAGACUUGAGUGUGUGCUACUGGAAUGAGUUUGGCUCAUCUAAGAAUGUCCAACUACUGCUUGAACACUUGGGUCUAAGCCGGAAUGAGUUCAAGAGGAUAACUGACAUGUUCGCGGCCUCGGGAAUAUUACAAGGUUACUUAGAUUUUCAUAACAAUCCCGGGUCAAAGCCAUGGAGCGGUGUAAAGGAUGACAAGGGUUGUUGAGCAUGUACCUUGUAGUAGUGCCGUCUUGUUUGGGAAAUGUAGCAUUAACUGAAUGUUACUAAAAAAGUGUAUCUCAUGAACUAAAUGUUAGAAACCAUCUUUUCUUAUCCUUUUUUUUGAACAGCA
Erigeron canadensis is the source of this 765-nucleotide RNA transcript. It is a transcript of the gene named putative pre-16S rRNA nuclease, with no coding region annotated. The record is from RefSeq and is a predicted model, not a curated record. NCBI's taxonomy places the organism in Eukaryota, Viridiplantae, Streptophyta, Magnoliopsida, Asterales, Asteraceae. The transcript has 4 exons.